Molecule: ribosomal RNA, 269 nt
Filed under: uncultured prokaryote
Description: partial 16S ribosomal RNA
Rfam family: Bacterial small subunit ribosomal RNA
Source: RNAcentral
UACGUAGGGGGCGAGCGUUAUCCGGAUUUACUGGGCGUAAAGAGUGCGUAGGCGGUCUUUCAAGUCAGAUGUGAAAUCUCCCGGCUUAACUGGGAGGGGUCAUUUGAUACUGUUGGACUGGAGUGCAGCAGAGGGAGGUGGAAUUCCCGGUGUAGUGGUGAAAUACGUAGAUAUCGGGAGGAACACCAGAGGCGAAGGCGACCUCCUGGGCUGUUACUGACGCUGAGGCACGAAGGCGUGGGGAGCGAACAGGAUUAGAUACCCUCGUA